GCUGCCAUAGUGUAGUGGCCAAUCAUGUCGGCCUUUCACGCCGACGACUGGGGUUCGAAUCCCCAUGGCAGCA
Molecule: transfer RNA, 73 nt
Filed under: Methanofollis liminatans
Lineage: Archaea; Methanobacteriati; Methanobacteriota; Methanomicrobia; Methanomicrobiales; Methanomicrobiaceae
Also listed under: 6 other names
Description: tRNA-Glu
Rfam family: tRNA
About the family: Transfer RNA (tRNA) molecules are approximately 80 nucleotides in length. Their secondary structure includes four short double-helical elements and three loops (D, anti-codon, and T loops).
Source: RNAcentral